Molecule: long non-coding RNA, 1643 nt
Organism: Colius striatus (speckled mousebird)
Lineage: Eukaryota; Metazoa; Chordata; Aves; Coliiformes; Coliidae
Exons: 2
Source: RefSeq, a predicted model, not a curated record
UGUGGCUGUGCCGUCGGGACCCAGCGGUGAGCGGCGACAGCGGGCGGCUCCUUCCUUCCUUCCUCCCUCUGCUCUUUGUUCUCCUCUCCUGCUCGUCCACUGCCUGGCAAAGCUUUGCCCUUUCCUCCGGGGUCUGCUGAGCUGGGGAGCAGCGGCGCGGGUCGCUUGGUGCUGGCUGGUUUGAAGCCAUGACAGUCCUUUUUGGUACCCAGCGUGGGGCACGAAGCGUUGGGUGCUGUUUAUCACCUCUGGGAGAGGGACGGAGACCGUGAUUGUGUUGUACUGGCUGCUGACACCGUAUGAUGCGGUUGUGUUGGUUAUAUUGGUUCUGGGGCUGGGCUGGUGUGUCUGGGCAGCAUUGUUGGCACUCCCAUCCCGUGGGCUUUUCCUCUCAGUGAUCUCACCCAGUCUCUGGGGAGGGCACAGAGGGGAUGCUUUCUCUUCCUUUUCACCUCUCCUUUCUCCUCAUGGCAGAUUACAGCAGCCUUGGAGGAUUCUGAGCACCCGUGGGAGAUUCCAGUCAUCCUGCUUUUACUGCUCUGUCUCAUGUUCCAUGUCUUGCCUGAGGUUGUUCCCCAAAGGUCUGUCCCAAGGCUGGACAGUCACAGGUGGGAGAAUAGGGGCAGGGAUCUGGGGUGGAUCCUGCCAGCCCAGCCCCUCAGGGUGGAUCCCACCAGCCCCAAACCUGCCAUGGGCAGCAAUAAAGGCAGAUCCCUCGUUAUUAGCAAAACCAAGGACACAAGCAGCCAGCUCUCGCUCUGUGCCUUGACCCUGACGUGCCUCAGCUCCUCUGGCUGCCGAAGCCUGGCCAUCUGGCGGUGACUCUUCAGCUAUAAUCUGAGGAGGCAGACUUGGCUGCUGGGGUGUGCCCAGGGCUGGAAGCCCUGACGGCGUCCCAGCGCGUGGCUGAGGCCGGGGCUGCGGCGUGGGCAGCCCCACGGGAGCGGCAGGGUGCCUCAGCACAGGGAGGCUGAGGGCUUCCAGCUCCUGGGCCAGCUUUUGGGAGCAGAGGGAGCUGUCAGCUGGAAGGGGCCAGGCCCAAGGCUCCCAGCACUGCUGGCCAGUGCUUGUGGCAGCUUUGCAAACACAGGAGGCUGUGGUGAGCACACCCAGGUGCCAGGCUGCUGCCUCCCACGAGCCGACACUCGGUGAUACCCAGUGUCUGAAGCCUUUGCCUGGGAAAGCUGAGUAUCAUCCUGCCUUUAGGCCAGCAGGAGGAUGGCAGAGCUGAGACCUUCUGCCGACCCACUCCAGACACCACUGCCUGGACUGAAACUGAGCUGCUGCAUUACUUCAUGUCAGUUUCCUUAGGGCUGAUCCCACUGAAGCUGUGUGUGUUGUUUGAGACUGUUGAUGUUUCCCAAGGCCUUGUGGCUCUGUCAGACAAAGCAUUGUCUAGAAACAGAAUGCCCAAGGUAAGACCAGCAGAUGCUCAAGAUGUAACUGAGUGAGCAGAGUGUUGUCCCACCAGUGAUAACAAAUCACCUCAGCAAAUCAGUAACAACUGUAGAAUUCAGUGGCUGUUUCCUGGAAUAGCUGUGUCUAUGGUCAGGCAUUGAAUAGUCAUGUUUUAAUGUAUCAGAGGAGUGUGCUUUUGCCCCUGUGCCCCAGCACUGCAAUAAAGAAUCCCUGCUUCAUCCCAA